GGGUCGAGUAUGGUGUUGGAUG
This 22-nucleotide non-coding RNA is filed under the name Arabidopsis thaliana (thale cress). The record is from RNAcentral. Lineage: Eukaryota; Viridiplantae; Streptophyta; Magnoliopsida; Brassicales; Brassicaceae.